CUGAUUUUUUUCCAAAAUCUUGAAUUCUUUUAUCUUUGUCAAUUCGCUUCGAUUCUUCAAGACUCCGACUCACUUCACGAAACUUGCCAAUACAAAAUCCUUAACAAUCUCCCCCUUUGGCAAUUUCGUGACAAAACUCACACAAACUCAAAAAUUACAAUUUAAAGAGAAAACGAAGUUCAAUGUCAUCACCAAAACACCGAACCCCUCGCGUGUAAUCCAAAUACAAUAUGAAACUCAAAAUUACAUCAAAACUCCUAAAACAGACUCUAUGACUUAGACGCAACUAGGAGUCUUAAAGUCUUGAAAUCCUGCAAAACAAAUCACUCAAAAAUGAUUAGCCUUAAAAUUUUAUACCUUAAAAUUUUAUACCUUCUCCCCCUUUGUUCACAUCUCCUCCUUUCUUCUUAAAUCACCCAUCCUCUGCUUUAGUUUAAUGCCUGAAACAUCCAUGCUCUCCCCCUUCAUCUAUGCUCUCCCCCUUUUUGUCAAAAAUUGCCAAAAGAAAGCAAGUAAAAAGAGAAAACAUACUAGAAAGCAUAAGAGUAGUCUAGUCAUAGUUACAGGCCUAAAACAAAAGUAAAAACAUGCAAAGGAAAGAUAAGCAAGCAUAACUAAAACAUCGCCCUAAACAGUAAAAUGCAGUAAAAGAGAAAGUCUAAGCCCGACUAAGACAUCACUCCGUGUCCUCGUCAUCAUCAUCAUC
This 706-nucleotide long non-coding RNA is filed under the name Ananas comosus (pineapple). RNAcentral describes it as "long non-coding RNA (ACOM_LNC038514)". Lineage: Eukaryota; Viridiplantae; Streptophyta; Magnoliopsida; Poales; Bromeliaceae. The record is from RNAcentral.